Molecule: ribosomal RNA, 497 nt
Filed under: uncultured bacterium
Lineage: Bacteria
Description: partial 16S ribosomal RNA
Rfam family: Bacterial small subunit ribosomal RNA
Source: RNAcentral
GAUGAACGCUGGCGGCGUGCCUAAUACAUGCAAGUCGAGCGAACAGACGAGGAGCUUGCUCCUUCGACGUUAGCGGCGGACGGGUGAGUAACACGUAGAUAACCUACCUAUAAGUCUGGGAUAACUUCGGGAAACCGGAGCUAAUACCGGAUAAUAUUUCGAACCGCAUGGUUCGAUAGUGAAAGAUGGCUUUGCUAUCACUACUAGAUGGAUCUGGGCCGUAUUAGCUAGUUGGUAAGGUAACGGGUUACCACGGCAACGAUACGUAGCCGACCUGAGAGGGUGAUCGGCCACAUUGGAACUGAGCCACGGUCCAGACUCCUACGGGAGGCAGCAGUAGGGUAUCUGACGCAAUGGGCGAAAGCCUGACGGAGCAACGCCGCGUGAGUGAUGAAGGUCUUCGGAUCGUAAAACUCUGUUAUGAGGGAAGAACAAACGUGUAAGUAACUGUGCACGUCUUGACGGUACCUAAUCAGAAAGCCACGGCUAACUACGUG